This 333-nucleotide long non-coding RNA is filed under the name Lepisosteus oculatus (spotted gar). Its description in RNAcentral is "lncRNA (ENSLOCG00000022225.1)". Lineage: Eukaryota; Metazoa; Chordata; Actinopteri; Semionotiformes; Lepisosteidae. The record is from RNAcentral.
ACACCGUCAUGAAGUCCUGCUCCUACAAGUCCUUUUGCGACAAAGCGCACCAGAGCAACUCGGGCGUUAAGAUGGACUGCUGCUUCUCUGAUGACUGCAACGGGCCGCCCAAGGGCCGCAGCGCCAGCCAAGGGGGUCGCAAUGUGGGCUCUGUCCUGCACUGCAGCCCCACCCUCAUGCUUGGGGUGCUGUUGGUCAAGCUGCUCUUCAGCAAACUCUAAGAAAGGACAUAGCCCAACACAUAAUACCCCCCACCUUGUUCUCCUUUCCUUUCCACUCUCUAUCAGAUUCUCCGUGGUUUCAUAUACUGUAGGUCCUGUUCGCGUGUUUCAU